This 658-nucleotide ribosomal RNA is filed under the name uncultured bacterium. RNAcentral's name for it is "bacterial SSU rRNA". It matches the Rfam family "Bacterial small subunit ribosomal RNA", at positions 187 to 848 of the family's 1533-position model. The record is from RNAcentral.
GCAUGUUCACAUGAUUAAAGGUAUUCCGGUAGACGAUGGGGAUGCGUUCCAUUAGAUAGUAGGCGGGGUAACGGCCCACCUAGUCUUCGAUGGAUAGGGGUUCUGAGAGGAAGGUCCCCCACAUUGGAACUGAGACACGGUCCAAACUCCUACGGGAGGCAGCAGUGAGGAGUAUUGGUCAAUGGGCGAGAGCCUGAACCAGCCAAGUAGCGUGAAGGAUGACUGCCCUAUGGGUUGUAAACUUCUUUUAUAAAGGAAUAAAGUCGGGUAUGCAUACCUGUUUGCAUGUACUUUAUGAAUAAGGAUCGGCUAACUCCGUGCCAGCAGCCGCGGUAAUACGGAGGAUCCGAGCGUUAUCCGGAUUUAUUGGGUUUAAAGGGAGCGUAGAUGGAUGUUUAAGUCAGUUGUGAAAGUUUGCGGCUCAACCGUAAAAUUGCAGUUGAUACUGGAUAUCUUGAGUGCAGUUGAGGCAGGCGGAAUUCGUGGUGUAGCGGUGAAAUGCUUAGAUAUCACGAAGAACUCCGAUUGCGAAGGCAGCCUGCUAAGCUGCAACUGACAUUGAGGCUCGAAAGUGUGGGUAUCAAACAGGAUUAGAUACCCUGGUAGUCCACACGGUAAACGAUGAAUACUCGCUGUUUGCGAUAUACAGCAAGCGGCC